GCCCGCCUAGCUCAAUUGGUCAGAGCGUCAGACUUUUAGGCACUGCUGUGCUGUGUAGUUAUCUGAAAGUUGCGGGUUCGAGUCCCGCGGUGGGCU
This 96-nucleotide transfer RNA is filed under the name Agaricus bisporus var. burnettii. It matches the Rfam family "tRNA". From Rfam's summary of the family: Transfer RNA (tRNA) molecules are approximately 80 nucleotides in length. Their secondary structure includes four short double-helical elements and three loops (D, anti-codon, and T loops). The record is from Rfam by way of RNAcentral. Lineage: Eukaryota; Fungi; Basidiomycota; Agaricomycetes; Agaricales; Agaricaceae. RNAcentral also lists the same sequence under 2 other names.